GAGCCAAAUGGACCAGCGGUGAACUCCGAGUUCUACACUGGCUGGCUGGAUCACUGGGGUUCCCCUCACUCAACAACAGACAUGAGAUCAGUGGCCAAGAGUCUGGACCUGCUCCUGGACUAUGGUGCCAACAUCAACAUGUACAUGUUUGAAGGAGGCACCAACUUUGCUUACUGGAAUGGUGGC
Long non-coding RNA from Haliotis rubra (blacklip abalone), 186 nucleotides. RefSeq lists it as uncharacterized. The transcript has 3 exons. The record is from RefSeq and is a predicted model, not a curated record. Lineage: Eukaryota; Metazoa; Mollusca; Gastropoda; Lepetellida; Haliotidae.